CCCUCCAGCCCAUUCCCAUCCCUUCCCAAACCGCAGCAGCAAUGAGGGAAGAGCUUGGAUUUCCUCCCCGGGGCAUAGGCGGAGUUUUUAAACCGAGCCAGCACACAGAGUCCCCGGUGUGAGGUGUGAACAAACAGCUCGGCUGAUCAUUAACAACGGGCAGGGCUGCGGGAGCUGCUCCCUGGAAUUAUCCAGCCCACUGAGAAUUGGUGUGGAGUCAGCCAGGGCUUGUCCUGCUGUACCCUCCAUUCCUGGAAAAACUGGGAAACUCUUAGGAAAGCAGGUGAAUCUUUGUGGGAAAGAUUUGAAAGACUGGAUGGCAGACUGGAAAACCACAUUUCCCUGUCCUUGUGUCCCUGUUGCAACUCUCUCACCUAUAGCCAGGAAUUGCCGAACACUGAGUAUUUCACUGCUGAUUUUUGAGGGUUCCUCAUCUCCUGAGACCUGGAACUGCUGAGGGCUGAGGGCUGUGGAGUCACUGUGAGCUUUGCUCUGAAGGCAUGAACUCUCCUUAGGAAAGUUUUCCCAAAAAAACCCCAACAAAACCAAAACCAAACCAUCAAAAAAAAAAACCAAAAAAGGCACCACAACAACAAAUACUCCCCCACAAAAAAAAAAAAAAAAUUAAAAAGAAAGAAAGGAAACCCACAAAUAACAUGAAAGAAAAACCAAGCGGGGCCCAGGUGCCUGGAGGCUGGAGCCGGGUAUCUCACUCUUAAUGGAUCCAUUCAAUCUCCAUAAAGCCCUUCAGAAUGCAGAGCCCUGAGCAAAUGAGUUCCUGAGGAUCCCAGAGUGAGGGGUUUGGGAGAGGAGCAGGUGACAACAUUCCCAUUUCUGGGUUGGCUGCAGCCUGGGACA
Molecule: long non-coding RNA, 858 nt
Filed under: Junco hyemalis (dark-eyed junco)
Lineage: Eukaryota; Metazoa; Chordata; Aves; Passeriformes; Passerellidae
Description: lncRNA (ENSJHYG00000002532.1)
Source: RNAcentral